Molecule: long non-coding RNA, 414 nt
Filed under: Helianthus annuus (common sunflower)
Lineage: Eukaryota; Viridiplantae; Streptophyta; Magnoliopsida; Asterales; Asteraceae
Description: hypothetical non coding rna
Source: RNAcentral
UUAGUUGCCGACUUUGGUUCACUUUUUUCAACAAAAUUUGCAUUUUAGUUUUUCAGAUUAAGGCCAGCAAUUUCUUGACACAAAACAACAAAAUACGAAUCCAUUACAAAAUAGGUGGGUUAGUGACUAGUUUAAAGUCUAAACUGGUUCGGGUUAGUCUUGUGUCAACUAUGUGAAUACGUUUAGCUAAACAGGUCAACACUGUUGGGUAUAAUCUUGACCGGGUCAAAGUUGGGUGAAUGGCAUGGCAAGUGUCACACAUAUGGACUCAUGGGCAAUCAGAUAAAAAGUCAUGAAAUUGCCAAUUAAGCCAUAAUCCCAACUUGUUUGAUUGCUAAUGUAUGUUCACAGAGGCAGAUUGAAGCCGUAUACAAGAUACCCGAUGAUUUACAAGUUCCCUAGAUUUUCUGUAUU